This 497-nucleotide ribosomal RNA is filed under the name uncultured bacterium. RNAcentral describes it as "partial 16S ribosomal RNA". It matches the Rfam family "Bacterial small subunit ribosomal RNA", at positions 28 to 507 of the family's 1533-position model. The record is from RNAcentral.
GAUGAACGCUGGCGGCGUGCCUAAUACAUGCAAGUCGAGCGAACAGACGAGGAGCUUGCUCCUCUGACGUUAGCGGCGGACGGGUGAGUAACACGUGGAUAACCUACCUAUAAGACUGGGAUAACUUCGGGAAACCGGAGCUAAUACCGGAUAAUAUAUUGAACCGCAUGGUUCAAUAGUGAAAGACGGUUUUGCUGUCACUUAUAAAUGGAUCCGCGCCGCAUUAGCUAGUUGGUAAGGUAACGGCUUACCAAGGCAACGAUGCGUAGCCGACCUGAGAGGGGGAUCGGCCACACUGGAACUGAGACACGGUCCAGACUCCUACGGGAGGCAGCAGUAGGGAAUCUUCCGCAAUGGGCGAAAGCCUGACGGAGCAACGCCGCGUGAGUGAUGAAGGUCUUCGGAUCGUAAAACUCUGUUAUUAGGGAAGAACAAAUGUGUAAGUAACUAUGCACGUCUUGACGGUACCUAAUCAGAAAGCCACGGCUAGCUACGUG